RNAcentral lists this ribosomal RNA (492 nucleotides) under uncultured bacterium. Its description in RNAcentral is "partial 16S ribosomal RNA". It matches the Rfam family "Bacterial small subunit ribosomal RNA", at positions 29 to 507 of the family's 1533-position model. The record is from RNAcentral.
AAUGAACGCUGGCGGUAUGCCUAACACAUGCAAGUCGAACGGCACCACCGUAAGAGCUUGCUCUUACGGGUGGCGAGCGGCGGACGGUUGCGUAAGACAUCGGAAUCUACUUUUUCGUGGGGGAUAACGUAGGGAAACUUACGCUAAUACCGCAUACGACCUACUGGUGUAAGCACGGGUUCUUCGGACCUUGCGCGAUUGAAUGAGCCAAUGUCGGAUUAGCUAGUUGGCGGGGUAAAGGCAAACCAAGGCGACGAUCCGUAGCUGGUCUGAGAGGAUGAUUCGACACCCGGGAACUGAGGCACGGCCCAGACUCUUACACGAGGAAGCAGUGGGGAAUAUUGGACAAGGGGGGAAUGCCUGAUCCAGCCCUACCGCGGGGGUGAAGAACGACUUCGGGUUGGAAAGCCCUUUUGUUGGGAAAGAAAAGCAGCACGUUAAUCCCCCGCUGUUCUGACGGUACCCAAAGAAUAAGCACCGGCUAACUUCGUG